CCCAGACAGUUUACCUAAACCCUUCAAUGGAUUCUACCAGGUCCCAGUUUACCUAAACCCUUCAAUGGAUUCUACCAGGUCCCAGUUUACCUAAACCCUUCAAUGGAUUCUACCAGGUCCCAGUUUACCUAAACCCUUCAAUGGAUUCUACCAGGUCCCAGUUUACCUAAACCCUUCAAUGGAUUCUACCAGGUCCCAGUUAACCUAAACCCUUCAAUGGAUUCUACCAGGUCCCAGACAGUUUACCUAAACCCUUCAAUGGAUUCUACCAGGUCCCAGACAGUUUACCUAAACCCUUCAAUGGAUUCUACCAGGUCCCAGUUUACCUAAACCCUUCAAUGGAUUCUACCAGGUCCCAGUUUACCUAAACCCUUCAAUGGAUUCUACCAGGUCCCAGACAGUUUACCUAAACCCUUCAAUGGAUUCUACCAGGUCCCAGUUUACCUAAACCCUUCAAUGGAUUCUACCAGGUCCCAGUUUACCUAAACCCUUCAAUGGAUUCUACCAGGUCCCAGACAGUUUACCUAAACCCUUCAAUGGAUUCUACCAGGUCCCAGACAGUUUACCUAAACCCUUCAAUGGAUUCUACCAGGUCCCAGACAGUUUACCUAAACCCUUCAAUGGAUUCUACCAGGUCCCAGACAGUUUACCUAAACCCUUCAAUGGAUUCUACCAGGUCCCAGUUUACCUAAACCCUUCAAUGGAUUCUACCAGGUCCCAGACAGUUUACCUAAACCCUUCAAUGGAUUCUCCCAGGUCCCAGUUUACCUAAACCCUUCAAUGGAUUCUACCAGGUCCCAGUUUACCUAAACCCUUCAAUGGAUUCUACCAGGUCCCAGUUUACCUAAACCCUUCAAUGGAUUCUACCAGGUCCCAGACAGUUUACCUAAACCCUUCAAUGGAUUCUACCAGGUCCCAGACAGUUUACCUAAACCCUUCAAUGGAUUCUACCAGGUCCCAGACAGUUUACCUAAACCCUUCAAUGGAUUCUACCAGGUCCCAGACAGUUUACCUAAACCCUUCAAUGGAUUCUACCAGGUCCCAGACAGUUUACCUAAACCCUUCAAUGGAUUCUACCAGGUCCCAGUUUACCUAAACCCUUCAAUGGAUUCUACCAGGUCCCAGACAGUUUACCUAAACCCUUCAAUGGAUUCUACCAGGUCCCAGACAGUUUACCUAAACCCUUCAAUGGAUUCUACCAGGUCCCAGUUUACCUAAACCCUUCAAUGGAUUCUACCAGGUCCCAGACAGUUUACCUAAACCCUUCAAUGGAUUCUACCAGGUCCCAGUUUACCUAAACCCUUCAAUGGAUUCUACCAGGUCCCAGACAGUUUACCUAAACCCUUCAAUGGAUUCUACCAGGUCCCAGACAGUUUACCUAAACCCUUCAAUGGAUUCUACCAGGUCCCAGACAGUUUACCUAAACCCUUCAAUGGAUUCUACCAGGUCCCAGACAGUUUACCUAAA
Long non-coding RNA from Oncorhynchus keta (chum salmon), 1467 nucleotides. RefSeq lists it as uncharacterized. The transcript has 4 exons. Lineage: Eukaryota; Metazoa; Chordata; Actinopteri; Salmoniformes; Salmonidae. The record is from RefSeq and is a predicted model, not a curated record.